UACGUAGGGUGCAGGCGUUAAUCGGAAUUACUGGGCGUAAAGCGUGCGCAGGCGGUCUUGCAAGACAGGUGUGAAAUCCCCGGGCUUAACCUGGGAACUGCACUUGUGACUGCAAGGCUGGAGUACGGCAGAGGGGGAUGGAAUUCCGCGUGUAGCAGUGAAAUGCGUAGAUAUGCGGAGGAACACCGAUGGCGAAGGCAAUCCCCUGGGCCUGUACUGACGCUCAUGCACGAAAGCGUGGGGAGCAAACAGG
Molecule: ribosomal RNA, 253 nt
Filed under: uncultured bacterium
Lineage: Bacteria
Description: partial 16S ribosomal RNA
Rfam family: Bacterial small subunit ribosomal RNA
Source: RNAcentral